This 1455-nucleotide long non-coding RNA is filed under the name Monodelphis domestica (gray short-tailed opossum). RNAcentral's name for it is "lncRNA (ENSMODG00000032104.2)". Lineage: Eukaryota; Metazoa; Chordata; Mammalia; Didelphimorphia; Didelphidae. The record is from RNAcentral.
AUGACUAACCCACUCUACCCAGCAUCAUCUCUGGCUCCAGAUGGCAAGAAAUACAUUCAUUUUGCCCUUGCUGAAAAGCAGAGGAAUGCUAAUGUUGAAUUCUUUUCCCUGUAUCUAAUUCCACCUGCACUGACUAGCUUCAAUUCCAAAAAGCAGAGCAGAAGAAGAGGAGAAAUGGAAAGACGAACCCAAAGGGGGGAUUUAGUUGGAAAAAGAAGAAAGAGGGAAUGGGAUGGGGAGACACACUGCAGCUUUAAAUCUUGCUGCAUCAAGCCCUGGAUUCUUUCCAUCACCCAGCAAAAUGAUAACAAGAAGGGAGGCAAAAAAAAAAAAUCUCUCCCCCCCUGCCGGCCAACCUUCGGGCAGCUCCAGAGUGAAUCACGCAGCAGUAAACCCAUCCCCCAUAUCCCCACCCCCGCCCAAUCGGCAGGUUACACAGGUGAGUGGUGCACCGACCUUGGCCCGGAGGCUCUGCCCAGACAUACUGGGCUCAAGGUCAAGGGGGACGGCUUCCCGGUCCGUCCGGAGCCCGGAAUUCUGCUGCCAAAGUUUCGGGCAAGGCAAAGGGCCUUCAAGGUAACAUAAACAUAACUGAUGUGCCAACACAGAGAAAGUAUUUGAAAGUCACCUUCCACUGGUACCUGCACUGCAUACAGCCUGCCCGGGACCACAGGUACACUUGGCUUCUCCCAGUGCACAUGGCUAGCCAGGCCUGCUGGGGAUUCCACUGGAAUGAGCGGACGGCUGACAGGUGUUCUAACACCACAAAUAAUGUCAACUUCUGUAUGUCCCAGAUCCAAACAGCAUUGGGAAUGUUAUCGUUUCUUGUUGCCAGGAAGCAAUUGUCUGGGCUAAAUGCUAAGGUUCCUCUACCAAUUUUGGGAUUGGGUCGAUCAGUGACUGGUUUUGAUGUUUGUAAAGAAACUGGUGGGUGGGAAUGGAAGAGUCUCCAUUUCUAAAUUUUGAGACUUUUCUGUUUCCUUAUAGACAACUAUCUUGGGGUUAUCAAUGGUUGUAGUGGCUCCAAAGUCUAGAAUCGGCACCUUUUCCUCAUAGCUGCCGAUGGCCAAAACCUGGCUGCUGGGGCUCCAGACUUGGUCUUGAUACCUAGAGACCACUCAUACGCAGAGUAUGUCGACAACCACCGGCCAUCCAGGGAAUACAGCAAAAUGUUAUACUCCAGACAACUGUCCCAAGCUGCCAACACAUCCAUUUGGAGCCCAUUCAGUCCCAGCAAGGUCUUGGUUGUCCGUGUCAAAAUGCUUGCUGACAGACUUUUGGAUAUUUGAUAUAGGAUACAGAUUUUGUACACAAGGACCAGACUCUUAUCCGCAGCAGGAAUUUUCCAUGAGGAGAGAAUUUGCUGAGCUGAUUUGAGAGCUUAAACGAUUAAGAGAAAUUCAUAAGUGAUGCAAGUGGUGGAGCUGGCCAAUAAACUAUGAUGCUAAGGGCCCA